Molecule: small nuclear RNA, 107 nt
Organism: Nomascus leucogenys (northern white-cheeked gibbon)
Lineage: Eukaryota; Metazoa; Chordata; Mammalia; Primates; Hylobatidae
Source: Ensembl
GUGCUCGCUUUGGCAGCACAUAUACUAAAAUUGGCACGAUACAGAGAAGAUUAGCACGGCACCUGCACAAGGAUAACACGUAAAUUCGUGAAGUGUUUUUUUUUUAA